Molecule: long non-coding RNA, 246 nt
Organism: Ixodes scapularis (black-legged tick)
Lineage: Eukaryota; Metazoa; Arthropoda; Arachnida; Ixodida; Ixodidae
Exons: 3
Source: RefSeq, a predicted model, not a curated record
AACGGACCCAGAGGCAAGGUCCCACGGGGGCGUGGGGCGCCGAGCGAGGCGCUUGAAAGGCACAAGCAUUGGAGACCAGCUGCCUCCACAAUCAUGCCCCCCCUGCUUUCCCGGUAGUUGCUGUUGUUGUACCAAAAAGUGCAUAAGGGGUGGACAUUACUUAACCAUCAUUUCAAUCCUGGGGACAUGGAGUCAUUGCUAACCAGGACCGGUCACUGCUAGCCAAAACAAGACUUCAUAGGUGCA